UACGUAGGGUGCAAGCGUUGUCCGGAUUUAUUGGGCGUAAAGAGCUCGUAGGCGGUCUGUCGCGUCGGCUGUGAAAACUCGGGGCUCAACCCCGAGCCUGCAGUCGAUACGGGCAGACUAGAGUCCGGCAGGGGAGACUGGAAUUCCUGGUGUAGCGGUGAAAUGCGCAGAUAUCAGGAGGAACACCGGUGGCGAAGGCGGGUCUCUGGGCCGGAACUGACGCUGAGGAGCGAAAGCGUGGGGAGCGAACAGG
This 253-nucleotide ribosomal RNA is filed under the name uncultured bacterium. RNAcentral describes it as "partial 16S ribosomal RNA". It matches the Rfam family "Bacterial small subunit ribosomal RNA", at positions 524 to 776 of the family's 1533-position model. The record is from RNAcentral.